Long non-coding RNA from Corvus hawaiiensis (hawaiian crow), 1758 nucleotides. RefSeq lists it as uncharacterized. The transcript is spliced from 3 exons. Lineage: Eukaryota; Metazoa; Chordata; Aves; Passeriformes; Corvidae. The record is from RefSeq and is a predicted model, not a curated record.
CACAGCUUGCCUAAGGAAUGCACAAAUUGUUUGCUGACAGCGACCAUCCUAAAGCCAGGCUGGAAGGAUGUGGACAGCAGUCAGUGUGCCAUGAGUCACAGCCAAGGAAAUGGCCAGCAGGGAGUCUGCAGGAUUACUGGCAGAAAGGCUGGGAGUGCAAGGAACAACAACACUACCAUUGUCUUUGGUUUGGAGACUGAGCUUUCCAGUCAUUACAUGUCUAUCCAAACAGUCCGAGUUUGAGAGAAACCUGCAUUUCCUUUCACACUCAUGUGCGAAGAGGACAGAAAUCCAGAAUGCCAUUACAAUUGUCUAGACACCAGAAACCCCAGAUUCGUACAACCACAUUUGACAAUCAAUGAAUGUGUUUGGGCAGGUGCUAAAAUUGACCCUGGCUUAAGCACACAGCAGAGCGUUGUCUCAGGAAUAUCUGUUUCAUCUGACUUGGAAAGAAAGAUGUUAAAACUCUUUCAGCAUUUUCAGAUGUCCGAAUCCUUCCCAUGUCAUGCAGUGGCUCCAGCUUUUUUUUGACUGAAUGACAACCACUUCCUCUCUGGAGCUAGACUUAUCUGAUCAAGUGGUGAAAAUACAAAAAUGAAGAAACCAUGCAUCUUAAACAUUAUUUUCACACUUGCCUUCCUCCUCUGAAGUGAGUUUUUCUUCAGUCAUCAAGCAUCAGCCAAAUGUUCAUUAGACAUGUAAACAACAUGGUUUGUGGGAGACAUCUCUUCAGUCUGUACCCAUUACUAGAGCAUCCAAACCUGACUCCAAAUAUUUUCCUGGCUGCACUUAUGCUGUUUUUUAAGUUUUGCAUUCAGAUAACUGGAUAUACAUCUAAUCUCAGGGGGAAAAAACUGUCUUUGCCUUUUAGUCCAGAUAUCAGUUUGCUUCUACUUGAUUUGUAGACUGGGCAGAGAUAGAUGGAGUAUGACACAUAGUUUGCCUUCUUUUGCCUAUCAUCUGCCAUUUCAGCCCUGCAGAGACUUCAUGGGUGGUAUAAGUUAGCUUUGAGUACCUUCCCAAACAUCCAGACGGAUCUUGGCCAGGGCAUCUGGAGAAUGGGAAGGCCACAUGCAGGAAUUUCAGUUUCAUUUACUGUUCAUUUACUGUUCAUUUACACAGUUCAUGGUCUUUUAUGCAGUCUAGACAACCACGUCUUUGAGUCUAGUCUAUGAGAGAAAAUGAUACUUCCUAGAAUUCAAGGAGUCUAAUAAAAUAUAUGAAUCAUAUCAAAAUCUGCUCUUUUCUGUAUACAUGUAGUUUAGUUGACAUGGUGGUGGGUGUUCAGUCAGAAGUCAGACUCAGUGAUCUUGGAGCAUUCCAUUCUAGUGCAGACAUGUGUUUUCCCUCUUGCAACACCAAAGGAUUUCACUGCAAACCUUAUUCACCAGUAUUCACUUCACGUUAUGGAAGCAGUCACUGUUUGUAUCGAGGAUCAGAGGAACCCAAAAAUUCUGACUUUAGGGUUCUGCAAACUUAUUUAAAGGCUCUCUGUCACAGAAAAGCAGUCUGGGAUCUCACAUUAUCAGGCUAACUAUUGACAGUCUAUUCUCAGUUGAAUUAUUGACUAUUGUAUAACAGGUUUUGCUCAAUAUUCAGAUUAUGAUGAUGUCAUUAAACUGUAAAUCCAUGUUCAUUGCUGCCUAGCUGUCUAAAACUUUAUUGUGAAAGCUCAAUGUAAACUUUGGAUUCAAAAUCUUUCAGUCAAGACUGUUGAUUUUAAAAUGGCAAACGAAGAUUUUUUCCUAAAUUGCUUGU